This 1449-nucleotide long non-coding RNA is filed under the name Nicotiana tabacum (common tobacco). RNAcentral's name for it is "long non-coding RNA (NTAB_LNC017755)". The record is from RNAcentral. Lineage: Eukaryota; Viridiplantae; Streptophyta; Magnoliopsida; Solanales; Solanaceae.
CUCCUUUACUCAAGCUAAAAGAAUACAUGAAAAAAAAGAAGAAAUAAAGCAAAUGGAUCAGAGAUCAAGCAGCAGUAGAAGUAGCAGAAAUCAGCCUCAAAUUCAAUCACUUAAAAGAGUGAAAUUAUCCCAGAAUGCAACCAAUGAAACAGUAAAACAAUUUCAACAGCUCAAGACCCAGCUCUCCAACCCGAAUCAAUUCAUAUUCAUUCCCAGAUGAACCAGAAAGUAUUUCAGAAUUUGAAAAUUUCAGAAAUCAACAAGAGAAAUCAAUGGAACAGUAAAUAUCUAGCCGUUUGUAUUUUCUGUAUUUUUCAGCUCUUCAAACUCUUAGACUCUCUUUUUCCUCUUUUUUUUUCAUAACCUCUGUUCUUCAGCCUUUAAAUAGGCACUGAUUUUAGCGCCUUCCCCAUUACCAAUCCCCUUUCCCCAUUUUUAAUUAACUCCAUUAAAUUUGUUAGUGCACCUCUAACCCUACCACUAUUAGAAGCUUCCCAAUUCAAUUAUUGAAGCUCCCUUAGGCUAGACUACCUAAAUUAACUCCUAUGGUCCUGGUAUUGCCCCUGAAAUUAUCCUCAAGAAGCUAGGCAAAGUAUGGGCUAAUCCUGCACAUAGGGUGCAAACUCAAUUGAAUGGGUCUGAAUUGAACCCCAAAUCCCAAAUCAAAGAAAUAUCAGAACAUUAAUUGAAAAAAAUUCGAAUGAGAAGCUGAAAAAUGAAAAACCAAAGAGUAAACUACAAAACCCAAAACUUAAACUAACCAUUAAUUCUCUUUCAAGCUAGAUACCAAAACAAAAUUAACGAACUUUCUAAAUUAACAAUACUCUACUUAAGCUAAUUAACAGAACAUGCCAUAACCUUAAAAAUAAAAGGAUAGCAAUUUAACAUUAAUUAAAAUUUGAGGAGCAAAACUGAAAGACUAACAAACGAUCCCUAAAUUGAUCUAAAAGGAAAAAAAAAACCGAGUUCAAAAUUCUUCAACACACUCAGACAAAGAACAAGUCACUAGAACAAUCCUAGAAGAAGAAGAAGAAGAAGAGGAGGAGGAGAAGAAAAGACGAACGAAACUGGUCAAAAGAAAAAUAGAACUCACUUGGCUAGACUCGAAAUUAAAAUCUGAUAACUCGAUUCACACAAAACUAAUACCAAUCGCUUUUCUCUGUUAAGAAAGAGCCAAUGACAUCAAUUUUGUAGUGAAUCAGCUUUCCGGAGUCGAUGCAUGCCACCAGUUUUGACCGUAUCGAGUUUUGAAUUUUUAGGGCAUGAAUUUGUAUCUUAUAUUCGAGGGAUUCUAGAAAGAUUCGAAGGAAACUAAGUAGGGAUUUGGAAUGAGGGGGGUUUGGGGGUUCCGGGGUGUGAUUUUGGGGAAGUUUGGAGGCGGCGGCGCCACCGGAAGGCGGUGGGGAGCGGUGGCGGCUGUCUCUAGGGUUUGGGUUAAGCUGAGGGAGA